RNAcentral lists this ribosomal RNA (365 nucleotides) under uncultured soil bacterium. Its description in RNAcentral is "bacterial SSU rRNA". It matches the Rfam family "Bacterial small subunit ribosomal RNA", at positions 26 to 417 of the family's 1533-position model. The record is from RNAcentral.
AGAACGAACGCUGGCGGCAUGCCUAAUACAUGCAAGUCGAACGAACUCUUCGGAGUUAGUGGCGCACGGGUGCGUAACGCGUGGGAAUCUGCCCCUUGGUUCGGAAUAACAGUUGGAAACGACUGCUAAUACCGGAUGAUGACGAAAGUCCAAAGAUUUAUCGCCAAGGGAUGAGCCCGCGUAGGAUUAGCUAGUUGGUGAGGUAAAGGCUCACCAAGGCAACGAUCCUUAGCUGGUCUGAGAGGAUGAUCAGCCACACUGGGACUGAGACACGGCCCAGACUCCGUACGGGAGGCAGCAGUAGGGAAUAGUGGACAAUGGGACGAAAGCCUGACUCCAGCAAUGACCGCGUGAGUAGACUGGAA